AGGGAUUCUUCACCCAUGGUUGCUUAGGUUUAUAAGCAAGGAAGCUGAAUGAAGUCCCUUUCCUCUCUGGCUAACAUCUUCUAGUCAAACAACUCUCCUUUUCAAAGGGACCAGGCACAGUUUCUGCUUAUCCCUGAGUAGCAGUGUUCAGUUUCCUGCCAGCCUGUGGAGUUUUUCAAACAAGCCAAUCACCUCCUCCUGUGGGAACUGAGAAGCACCCCACCCUCUCGAUACUACAAAGCCCCUGCUUGUUCCCUAGUGCAACUCCCAUGUGGUCCUGUGGAGCAUAUGGUAUCUUCCUCUUCUGGGCAGUG
RNAcentral lists this long non-coding RNA (314 nucleotides) under Pan troglodytes (chimpanzee). RNAcentral's name for it is "long non-coding RNA NONPTRT001316". The record is from RNAcentral. Lineage: Eukaryota; Metazoa; Chordata; Mammalia; Primates; Hominidae.